RNAcentral lists this transfer RNA (73 nucleotides) under Candidatus Caldarchaeum subterraneum. Its description in RNAcentral is "Candidatus Caldiarchaeum subterraneum (hot springs metagenome) tRNA-Thr". It matches the Rfam family "tRNA". From Rfam's summary of the family: Transfer RNA (tRNA) molecules are approximately 80 nucleotides in length. Their secondary structure includes four short double-helical elements and three loops (D, anti-codon, and T loops). Further hydrogen bonds mediate the characteristic L-shaped molecular structure. tRNAs have two regions of fundamental functional importance: the anti-codon, which is responsible for specific mRNA codon recognition, and the 3' end, to which the tRNAs corresponding amino acid is attached (by aminoacyl-tRNA synthetases). tRNAs cope with the degeneracy of the genetic code in two manners: having more than one tRNA (with a specific anti-codon) for a particular amino acid; and 'wobble' base-pairing, i.e. permitting non-standard base-pairing at the 3rd anti-codon position. Lineage: Archaea; Thermoproteati; Nitrososphaerota; Candidatus Caldarchaeales; Candidatus Caldarchaeaceae. The record is from RNAcentral.
GCCCUGGUAGCUCAGCCUGGUGGAGCGACCGCUUGGUACGCCGACGUCCGGGGUUCAAAGCCCCGCCAGGGCU